This 582-nucleotide unclassified non-coding RNA is filed under the name Hevea brasiliensis (rubber tree). The record is from RNAcentral. Lineage: Eukaryota; Viridiplantae; Streptophyta; Magnoliopsida; Malpighiales; Euphorbiaceae.
UUGUGGCUGGAACAGAUACAUCAGCAGCUACACUAGAAUGGACAAUGACUGAGUUGGCUAGGCAUCCAAGUGUUAUGAAAAAGGCACAAAAUGAAGUAAGAAAGAUUGUAGCUAAUAGAGGAAAGGUAGAAGAAUUUGAUCUUCAACAUCUUCACUAUAUGAAAGCAGUAAUAAAGGAGACUAUGCGAUUGCAUCCCCCUGUCCCUCUUCUCGUACCUCGUGAAUCCAUCGAAAAAUGUAGUAUCGAUGGCUAUGAAGUACCUGCGAAAACUAGAGUGUUGAUCAACACUUAUGCAAUCGGAAGAGAUCCUGAGUAUUGGAACAACCCUCUUGACUACAACCCCGAAAGGUUUAUGGAGAAGGAUAUCGAUUUGAGGGGACAAGAUUUUAGGUUUUUACCGUUUGGAGGAGGGAGAAGAGGUUGUCCAGGUUAUGCUCUUGGAUUAGCUACAAUUGAGUUAUCGUUGGCUCGUUUGUUGUAUCACUUUGAUUGGAAAUUGCCUAGUGGAGUUGAAGCUCAGGAUAUGGACUUGUCUGAGAUAUUUGGAUUGGCUACUAGAAAAAAAGUGGCUCUAAAGCUUG